AAGGAUGGAUUUUGUUUUCUUACAACUAGAGCUGAAACGAUCAAUUGAUUACGCCAAGCAAAACAGUGAAAAAAAAAAUAGAGGGUGUCUGCAGCUGGAACAGCCCUCCACCUCCAUCUGUGUGCGGAAGUGAGCUGAAGCAGAGAAAAAGGUGGCGUGUGGAGGCAAUAAGGACCUGGCUGUUCUCUGCUUUGUUUACUCAGGUCAAAUAAUACAGACAACUGAUCUACCUGCAGUCUUCCCUGCUGUCGCCCAUGUGCUGCAGGCUGGAGUGGAGGAAGGGUAUCACUGGAGUCCACACAAGGGCAGUUCAUCUUGAGGCUUUGACGACCACAUUGGGCAGCGACAUCACCAGUUUAUUGAUUUAAAGUACACAUUGGGAGCAAAUAACAGUGAGAGGACAAUUAACAAGUGGCGGGCACCCGGCACAGCUAACAGAUACUGUGUGGUGCUGCAGCAGCUGAAGAAGCUAACUAUUAACCACUCAGAUGAACAUCAGCAGGUGUUUGCUGCUACUCAACCUUUGAGUUGUCUGUUCGUCCAUGACCAGAGAGAUGUAGCCCUCGAUCAGGGAGAAGGAGAA
Molecule: long non-coding RNA, 583 nt
Organism: Perca fluviatilis (European perch)
Lineage: Eukaryota; Metazoa; Chordata; Actinopteri; Perciformes; Percidae
Exons: 5
Source: RefSeq, a predicted model, not a curated record